CGCGGCUUAGCUUAACGGAUAGAGCACCCCACCGCUAACAUACAGGCUGUACGUUAGCAUACUCUAGGGGAGAUGCAGGUUCAAGUCCUGCAGCCGCAACCA
RNAcentral lists this transfer RNA (102 nucleotides) under Hyphomicrobiales bacterium. Its description in RNAcentral is "tRNA-OTHER". It matches the Rfam family "tRNA". Rfam says of the family: Transfer RNA (tRNA) molecules are approximately 80 nucleotides in length. Lineage: Bacteria; Pseudomonadati; Pseudomonadota; Alphaproteobacteria; Hyphomicrobiales. The record is from RNAcentral.